GCAGGACACAAUGGAGCCGUUUUAUCUCUAUGACCUUGGGCUCCUAACAGAAAACAAAGCUAUUCAAAGGAUCCUCUGCCCCAUGGCAGCACAGCUCUGCCAUCUGAUCCUCGCCCUGGAAUGGGAAGAUGGGAUCUGUCAGGCCUUUCCCAAUUUAGGGGACAAUGCGGAAAUAUUAUCCAAAGCCACAGGGGAACUCGCUUCUGUUGCAAGAAGGUGAGUGUGCUGGGCAGCUCCUGGGCAGAUUUGGGGGCUGGGAAGGAGGAGGAAGGGAUAGCAAAGGAACUGGCAGGGAGCCUGCCUCUCCUGCCUGGUGCUCCCUGCCUGCACCUUGCUGAAGGUGGGAACGGGAGGAGGAAGGGAUGGAGAACAUGAGAGGGGGAACAGGAUUGGGAAGGGAAAAGGAGAGACGGGAGAAAGCAGGGAUAUGUGCUCGGAAGGGACAUGGCGAAGCAAUACCUCAACAAGCAAUAUUUAACCUUAAGACAUCUUAAAAUAAUCAUUGGGCAAUUGACCAAAUGCUUGAGUGAAUUUACUGAACGCUUCCGUAAACUGGAGCCCAAACCCACAGAUUAGGCACUGGCUGCUGGGUUAUUUGGCUGUUACAGCUAGGGCAGAUAGCAGACACCGUGUCUUAAAGUGAACUGCAGUCGCUGCAAAAGGUUCUUAAACAGUUUGCAAACAGGGCUAAAAUCAAUUCAAGCCCAAUUAAGGUCAGGUGUGGCUAAUUGUUGCGAUAAAGCCCAGGAACAGCACAUGCUGUCUGCCAAGGCUGGUACUCACAGGAUGGUGGAGAGCUGAGCCCAGCGGUUUCUGUUCCAGGUUGGCUGAGGAGUCCAGCGAUGAGGUGUUCAAAGAGGAGAUGCAUCCUGCAGCCCAGUCCCUUGUCCAAGCCGGGAGGUGCGUUCUGCUGGUAGCCCAGAAGCUCCAGGUGCAGCCAGACAACCCUGGCCACAGAGAGGAGCUGGCUGUGUCGGCAAAGAGGGUCUUAACAGAGACAGUGAAGAUCCUUCAGAUUGAAGAUGCUGCUGGGACGAGGAGGAUAAUUCAGGCUGCCAGCUGGCUUUUGGAGUGCCUGAGUGUGCUGCGGGAUGCAGGGGAUAUGCCAGGACUGCUGGCUGCUUUCUGGACCUUUUCAGAGGCCUUGCUUCUGCUGAGCAAUCUGACAGCAAAGCACCUCGAGGAACUUGGAGAUUGUCCUCAACAGAAGAGCUUGGCCCAAACUUUGCAGCUGCUUCACAAGUGCAUUCCUUUGCUCCACGCAGCCAAGCACAGCGAUCUUAAACGCUCCUGGGGUCAGCGAGCCAACCUGUCCAAAGAUUAUGCUUUCCAGCUAAUGGAGAGCACCAUCAAAGAGCUCACUUCCCUGCUCGUCGACAAUACAGUCAGAAGGGAGCCAUGGGACAGAAGCGGGACCUUCUCCCAGCACGUGAGCAGGCUGCUGGCUCUCCUCUCUUCCCCAGACCCAGUGCAGCUCUCUGACAGUGAGCUCAGCGCUCACGUGGAAGCAGUCGUUUUCUACUGCAUGCUUCUGGCAGACUCAUCCAGGUCAGAUCUGAAGCUGGACCUGGUAAAGCAUUGCUGGGUUCUGCUACAGCUGAGGAAGAGCAUCUGCAGCCAUGUAAGCCAGGAGAAAGGGUGGUCAGGGCAAAGCUGGGGAGAAAGCAGUCUGGAGAAGGAAUUGCACACCAUGAGAGAAGAGGUAGAGACUCUCGACCAGGCAGUGCUCACAGCUACUCUGUGCCAAAUCCUUGACACCUUCUUUGUGGGUAAGGAGCCCCUGAGGCAGUUAGUUGAAGAUGCCCUUAGCCUUAUUGGUACAGGGUGUUUUCCAGCAGGACAAGGAGGAUUUUUAAAGAAACUUCAGCCCCUCGUUGCCACCUUCUUCACACAUGCCCAGCAGAUGCUCAGAGUGGCAGACUUUGUUCUGGCAAGGUGCACCAAAACGCAAACUGCUAGAGAAAUUGGAGAGUGGGUAGAGUAUUUGAAGAGACUCCUUGCCAGUCUCCCUCCGCUGCUUACAGAAAUGAGCAGAAACACAGCCCAGAUGAGAGCUGCUGAGCAACUGCAGUCCUUGCACCACACAUGGGCUGGAACAACAGAAAGCCUCUUGCGGUGUUUUGAGGAGACAGUCAGCAUGUGUGAAUUCCUUACGCUGUCUGUCCAGGAAAUGGCCAAGCACAAGGAAUGGUGUGAAAAGGCCCUGGAAAGUGAGGACCCCGAGGGGCUCUCUUGGCACGCAACUCGCCUCAUCAGUUGGGCUCGGUGGGUGGUUGAAGCUACCACCAGGUAUGUGGACAGAGCCACAGACCCCAUUUUCAGGAAUGGCUUGCUGGUUUGGGUUGAGCAACUGGCCACCUCCAUCCUUGAGCUGAAAGCGGUCACAGCCCCUUGUCCAGAGAGAAUCUCCUGCCUCCAAACUAGGGAUAUCUUUUCAAAGGUAGCGAGCUGCCUGAUGGAUUCUGCUCACCAUGUCCGAGAUGGGCUGGAUGGGUCCAACCACCCAGAGAUCCUCAGCCCUCUCCGAGAACAAGUGAGAAGCACUGAUGCUUCAAGGGCACUUGAACUCCACCCAUCCCGUGCUGGGCUAAAAAACAUGAUGGAUGAGGCUGCAUUGCAAGAAGACAUCUUAAGCCAUCCGUCUCCACAAGCAGAUAAUUUACACCUGGAUGCCAUUCCAAGGAAAGGAGAUGUGCACCCUGUCAUUACAGCUCUCCUAGCAGCAACGAGGGCCCACGAUAUGGCAGCUGUCAAUGCUGCUUGUGCCGCCUUGCUUGAGCUCUCCAACAGCUCUGUCGAAGCUGCAAAGGAGGCACUGCCUGUUGCUGAGUCUCCCCAGAUGGAGACACUGGGGCAGUACCAGAAGAUGGUGUUGUUGACACCAUGUGUUGUUAGUCUGGCCAGGGAAACAGCCUCAAGGCGGCUUUGCUGUCCAGGCAGGCUUCUUCAAAUGGCACUCACGCUCUCCGAAGGGAUCUGUAAGACACAAGAGUGCCUGGCAGCCAUGUCAGGCUCUUGGUAUAGUCUGUCUCAGCAGGUACUUGGCUUUAUCUUGUCUGCUGACUUCCUGAGCAGCAAACAGGCUUUGGACGAGACCAUGGUGGGUUUAGCAGGAAUGGUUCAGUUAGCAGAAGGCAUUGCAAGCACGGCCCGUAGUAAGGGAAAUCCCACUUCCCCUGACGUCUGGGAGAGCUUUCUACAGGUCCAAGCCAAGUUUUCAUGUGCUCAGAGGAACAACAAAGUGUUACUUGAGAAAGCAGCAUCCUUUGAGGGCUCCUGCAGGGUGGGAAAGGCCAGCCUGGAGCUGCAGUGUCUCCAGUGGGCCAUCAGUAUGCACGUCCUGCUGAGCUCUGUGGAUCAGUUCAUCGGCAGGGACGUCCUGUUCCUGAGGGAGCUGAGGAGCGCCAUGAACAAUGAGCUUUGCUUGCGGAGCCUCUUGGCUGCUGUGUCUGAGAACUCUCUGAGGCUGCAGGAGGCCGCCCGGCUUUCUUACCUGUCCUGCCCUGAGGACUGUGGUCGCAGUGAAAUCCUCGUGCUCAGGGAGGAGAUAAAGGUGCUAGUGGAAGCACUGCUGGAUGCCUCCAGUACCCUCUCGGUCUCCCCGCUGUCUACUGCCAGCUUGUACGUUCGCUUUGAGCUUCUGCAGAGAGACCUGGCCCUCAGGGCCAAGGCCUUAUUGCUCCACCUGGAGAAGGUCAAUACCAAACACCUGCAGGUCAUCCGCGAUGUCGUUGGACCAGCCCUGUCCUCUACCCCUCAAGAGGACGGGGAGAGGAGAAAAGAGGCCUUUGAAGAGAAGGCAAGUCGGUUAAUGGCCAACGUUCAGUGGGUCAAAACCACCCUCCAAGACAUCCUGGAGUCCAGUGCUCAAUUGCAAUCGCAGGCAAACCUGCUCUCCAUCGCAGACCACCUCCUGGUCCUCACGUCUGACGCAGUGGGCAGCGCCAGCCAGCUGUUCAACAGCCACCAGGACAAAGCUCAUCUUCACCUAGACAGUAUUGUCUGGUACUGGUCAGCAAAGGCCCACUACCUCAUCACACAGCUGCAGGCUGUCCAGGGCAUCGAUGAACACGUCCUGCAGCUCAUGAGACAACACUUGCAGAACACAGAGGACCAGCACCUUCCACGACGACACAACAGCCCAGCGAAGCUCUUCCCAGCCCGAGAGCUUCAUGCUCUGAGCCAUGCCAAGUCAGCAGAAACUUGCCCAAGCAGGAGCAGAGGAGGAGGUGGAGCUGGUACAGUACAUGAAAUGUUACUGUCUCAACAGCACAAGAGCAGUCCUCCCAGCGUCUCCCCUGCCAGCAGCCCUGUGAAGCACGAGAGAGAAAACAGAGACACAUGGAAGGGUGACCCUAGUAAGAUGUCCCAGGUCACCAAGGACAUGGCAACAAGGAUGCUUCACAUGACUCAGUUCCUGAGGAAGAAGGGUCCCAUCAUGAGCAAGGACCAGCUUGUUGCCUGUGCGAGGCAAAUGGCUUCUGAUGGCCAGGUGUUUGUUAAAUUUGGCCACAUCGUUGCGAAGCACUGCCUGGACAGGAGAUGCUCCACAGAGCUGCUGUGUGCUGCAGAGCACACCCACACCAUCAGCAGCCAGCUCAGCAUCGUGGCCAGGGUGAAAGCAGUCACUGCAGAGAGCAAGUCCUCUUCUGAGCUGCUUGUGAGCAACGCGCAGAACCUCAUUCAAGCAGUUUUGCAUGUUCUGAAGGCAGCUGAGGCAGCGUGUAUCAAGCUCACUGUGCAUCUUUCCAGGCAUUGA
Molecule: long non-coding RNA, 4759 nt
Filed under: Calidris pugnax (ruff)
Lineage: Eukaryota; Metazoa; Chordata; Aves; Charadriiformes; Scolopacidae
Description: lncRNA (ENSCPUG00000005084.1)
Source: RNAcentral